UACGUAGGGUGCGAGCGUUAAUCGGAAUUACUGGGCGUAAAGGGUGCGCAGGCGGCGUCGCAAGUCAGGCGUGAAAUCCCCGGGCUUAACCUGGGAACUGCACUUGAAACUACGAUGCUGGAGUAUGGCAGAGGGAGGUGGAAUUCCACGUGUAGCGGUGAAAUGCGUAGAGAUGUGGAGGAACACCGAUGGCGAAGGCAGCCUCCUGGGCCAAUACUGACGCUCAUGCACGAAAGCUAGGGGAGCAAACAGG
RNAcentral lists this ribosomal RNA (253 nucleotides) under uncultured bacterium. RNAcentral's name for it is "partial 16S ribosomal RNA". It matches the Rfam family "Bacterial small subunit ribosomal RNA", at positions 524 to 776 of the family's 1533-position model. The record is from RNAcentral.